CUAAUGAAUUUGGGUAGCCUAG
This 22-nucleotide non-coding RNA is filed under the name Arabidopsis thaliana (thale cress). Lineage: Eukaryota; Viridiplantae; Streptophyta; Magnoliopsida; Brassicales; Brassicaceae. The record is from RNAcentral.